Molecule: long non-coding RNA, 1745 nt
Organism: Bos taurus (domestic cattle)
Lineage: Eukaryota; Metazoa; Chordata; Mammalia; Artiodactyla; Bovidae
Source: Ensembl
CCUGGCCGUGGUGCUCCAGGGUGACUUGGGCAGAAGGGGAGGGUGUAAGGGUGCAGCAAACUCACCUACUCCGAGCUUGUCUCUGUGGCUUAGGCGCAAGCAGUCUGUGUGUGAAGUCACACUGCUCCUCGUUUAGUGCGCGUGAGCCAGUGGUGUGGUUCCUGGUUCUCCACUCAAAACACAAAUCCCGAGUGGGAAAUCUCUGGGGGACGUUGGCCAGAGACCUGUCUUGGAGGCUGAUGCUCCUGUGGCCGGUGAAGGAGCCCCUCGCUCCCCUGGAUAACCUUCAGUCUGGCCCGCACUGUCGCCAGUGUCAUUUCUGCGUCAGCACUGGCUGAAGGACCUCGGCUGCGGUCUCACUGGUUCCACUGCUGUUGACACAGAGAGGGCCGAGGGGCGUCCACUGUCCAGGGCAAGUUCUGGCUGAGGGAACCCUGGAUUGACUGGAGGACCUGAGGAGGAAGCCUAUUUGAGGACAAGGACCCCAGGGAAGGUGUUCUUCCCCCUCGGUUAUGUUGAACUAACCGCUAACGGUCCAGUCUGCCGCAGAAACUGCUAGCCUGCCCUCGGGGCUCUGAGCCCCGCUGGCCUCCGCUUUGCCCCCUUCUGCAGCAGUGGACCAAAAAUACUCCUUCUGUUCCAUCUCUCGUAAUGGCCCCUUGUGCGCCCCACCCAGGUCGAGAGGUAAACCAGUUUAAUUCUCCAAAGCUCUGCUGGUGCCGCCCAGCCCUGUCCAUUGCCUAUGCAGAACAAGAGGCCUGGUGUCCAUGAAUCUCCCAUUUCCCGGCCUGGGGCUCUCCCUCACCUUGGCCUCCACUGUGUUCUUUCUCCAUGGUGGAAGUCAGAGCCCCUCCUCGGACUCUGAGCAGCCAGGCCGUCUCAAAUUCUGAGCUGUGCUCUGUGCCCUGCUGGUGCCUUGUGAAAGUAUGUUCCAUACAGACCCUGGAAGGUUAUGACAGUCAAAGGUUAAGAGUGAGGACGCUCUGGCACUUGGCACAAAAGGAUCCUUACUUCCAGCUUCCUCAGUGAGACAGGCCACCCUGAGUCCUUUGUCUCUUGGAGACCAGGAGCCGAAACCGUAAGAUCCAUCACUCGCGCUGGACCCCUCUAGGUGUUUGUGGAAGGUGCUUUGGAACCUCGUGAGCUGCAAGGAAAAGGACUUGGCGUUUCGUGUGUGGUAUUUCCUCCUUGCCCGGGGACCUAAGUUGCUGGACUGGGAAGUGGGCCUUGAUUCACUGUCCACCUUCCAUGGAUCAGCUGUGCAUCAUCUGUGCCUCAGAUCUGGGGAGUCCAGAGCCUUGUUCUCCUGCUUGGAAGAUUUGGAGGACUAAGUGUUUCAGAGUGCUUCAUUGUUCCCCAAAUGAACUGCCGCUUAGCCGUCUCCUUCACGACAAGGCCUGGAAAUCACGACACCAACGAGGGAAACCAGCCGGGCCCGCGUGCAAUGAUUAAAAGUGACAACUCAGUGGAUGUCUCAGAGCCAUCGCAGUCUCCCUGCCAAGGUGAAGCACCAGGUGCUAUCUACUUUUAUCUCCAGGAUUAAGGAUUUUCAUUUCUGUUACACAGUGAAAUGCGACCUGUGGCAGGCGGGAUGGGGGGUGAAGGGGGGUGAAAGCCAGUUGGCACUGUGUUUCAUUUACAGAUUUUAGAUGGCCAACUGGAUUGUUUCUGCUGUGUUGCUGGCAUGCCUCUGUAUCUCUGCCCCCUCGUCCCCUUUGGCCAUCUCUUUCUGAAAAUAAAGUGAU